Molecule: non-coding RNA, 1139 nt
Organism: Ciona intestinalis (vase tunicate)
Lineage: Eukaryota; Metazoa; Chordata; Ascidiacea; Phlebobranchia; Cionidae
Source: RefSeq, a predicted model, not a curated record
GAACAAGUCUUAAAAAAGAGCUUAACAUUUACAUUUAGGUGGUUUGACGUGAUGAACUGUUGUGCAAAAUUUUACAUUCGAACUAUGAAUGACAGCAGAAUUAAAUUUUUACAAUCAUUUUUUAACCAAUUGCUAAUGUGGAAGAAUGACGUACAUCAGAACCAUGUAGGGGAAGAUAAACGUUUACUUGCGACACCUACCCUAAUUGGUCUUAUAUUCACAACAACAAAUUACAUUGAGUUAUGCCGCCAGUUGCUCCUGAGGGAGGACAUUCAAUAUGUUUGCUUGAAAACUUUUACGCAGGACAAUUUGGACGCAUUUUUUGGCAAUCCGCGACAACUUGGAAGAAGAUCACAAAAUCCAGAUAUUUUUCAAGCUUCAUUUGGAAUUCAACACAUAACACAAAUAAUUAAACACAUUAAAGGGGGAAAUACCACAUUUGGCAACAAAAAUGCUUGGACAUCAGUAUCAGAUGAGCCACUGCCAAAAAAGACUCGGAAAUCUGACUAAAAAGUGAGCAGAUAAAAAUAAUUACUUUUUUCUUAGCUCACCCCGAAGACCCCUUGAUUGUUUGUUAAAACCCACAUACAUUUUUUCAAAUAAUUUUUUGGCAAAAGCAUGUGACAGAAGCCUAACAAAUAAUUUAACAAUAUAAUGAACUAUUUUUAGAAUCCUAGUUGGUUCUACCUCUGUUAUCUCCUGGAUUAGUGUUUGAAAGUUGCUGCAGUUUACUCCAGACAGAACUUCAUCCAAAACACUAUUAAAGUUGAUUUGUGUGGGCAAUUUUUUUGUUUGUUUUGUAAUUUUUAAAUGGACAUGCUGCAAAAACAAAAGAAAUUCAUCAGAUGGGUACUUCAGGCACCCAGAAUAUUUUUCCAUGGAUUUUAUAAGCUAUCCAUGUGGUAAUUGUUGGCUAAGACACUCAAUAACUUCAGGCAUGUCUGGAAAUUUUAAUGUUGUUUUUCUGAUAAUAUAACCACCUAUAUAUUCCAGUGUAUCAUUUUCAAACGCCUGAAUUUGACCAUAGGAUGGUGCUGGCACUGGCUCAUUCUUUUUCAUUACAUCUUUAACAAUAACCAAGAGAUUUUCUGCUGCUUUUGAUUUUGUUAGAUUUUCUAAAAAAUAUAUUUUGGCAUCCA